Molecule: ribosomal RNA, 158 nt
Filed under: Glomus sp. MUCL 46239
Lineage: Eukaryota; Fungi; Glomeromycota; Glomeromycetes; Glomerales; Glomeraceae
Description: 5.8S ribosomal RNA
Rfam family: 5.8S ribosomal RNA (bases 92-158)
Source: RNAcentral
AUCUUUGAUCAUGGUCUCGCGAAAACUUGUAUUUAAAACCCCACUCUUAUAAAUUGAAUCAUUUUAUAUUAUGUAUGUAAUAAAUAAAGAUCACUUUCAACAACGGAUCUCUUGGCUCUCGCAUCGAUGAAGAACGUAGCGAAGUGCGAUAAGUAAUG